GAUGAACGCUGGCGGCGUGCCUAAUACAUGCAAGUCGAGCGAACAGACGAGGAGCUUGCUCCUCUGACGUUAGCGGCGGACGGGUGAGUAACACGUGGAUAACCUACCUAUAAGACUGGGAUAACUUCGGGAAACCGGAGCUAAUACCGGAUAAUAUAUUGAACCGCAUGGUUCAAUAGUGAAAGACGGUUUUGCUGUCACUUAUAGAUGGAUCCGCGCCGCAUUAGCUAGUUGGUAAGGUAACGGCUUACCAAGGCAACGAUGCGUAGCCGACCUGAGAGGGUGAUCGGCCACACUGGAACUGAGACACGGUCCAGACUACUACGGGAGGCAGCAGUAGGGAAUCUUCCGCAAUGGGCGAAAGCCUGACGGAGCAACGCCGCGUGAGUGAUGAAGGUCUUCGGAGCGUAAAACUCUGUUAUUAGGGAAGAACAAAUGUGUAAGUAACUAUGCACGUCUUGACGGUACCUAAUCAGAAAGCCACGGCUAACUACGUG
This 497-nucleotide ribosomal RNA is filed under the name uncultured bacterium. Its description in RNAcentral is "partial 16S ribosomal RNA". It matches the Rfam family "Bacterial small subunit ribosomal RNA", at positions 28 to 507 of the family's 1533-position model. The record is from RNAcentral.